Molecule: long non-coding RNA, 2445 nt
Filed under: Jatropha curcas
Lineage: Eukaryota; Viridiplantae; Streptophyta; Magnoliopsida; Malpighiales; Euphorbiaceae
Description: long non-coding RNA (JCUR_LNC002301)
Source: RNAcentral
UUCUUCUUUCUCCCUUCUCCUUCUCCUCUCCUCUCCUCCGUCCGCAGCGCAGCUCCAGCCCCUCCUGAGAACACUCCAGCCCGUGUGACGCCGCCACCGACGCUCCGGUCACUCCUCUACGCCGUUCGCCACCGUUUGGACAGCAUUUGAGGUAAGCCGGUUUGCAUUUUAUUUUUUUCGAUUUUUUUUUUUUUUUUUUUUGCGAUUUUUGUGUUUUUUUCAAUUUAUUAUUAUUCUUACUGUUAUUAUUGUUAUAUUUGUUAAUAUUGUUAAUGUUAUUGUUAGUAUUUGUUAUUGUUAAUAUUGUUAAUGUUAUUGUUAAUAUUUGUUAAUAUUGUUAAUGAUCAAAUUUGGUUAAUGUUAUAUAGAUUUGUGGCUUGCAGGUGACACUGAAUUUGGUUAAAAGUUUGAGAAAUUUAAUAAAAAAACUUAUCUGGUUAUAGAAAUAGAUACCUAUAUUUAGUGUGAUUGAAACAGAUAAUUAUAUGAACAUAACAUCAGUUAGUGUGAUUGAAAUAGAUAAUUAAUUUGCCUCGUUGAACUUUAUUCACAGCUUGUUUGCUUUUGUAACUAAUUGAAACAGAUAUUUUACUCCAAUAAAAUAGUGAAAAAACAAAGAAAUUCAAAAAGAUAAUAACCAACCUAAUUACUGCGAUUUGCCUGCUAACAAUUUAAACUAACAAUCUAUAUGGUAGCUCAUAAACCACAUUGUAAAGCUUGAAUUGUUUCCUAAACUAUAGUUAUACUCUGCGUCCUUUGACCAAUAAAUUAGUGCAUUUUAUUAUAUUUUUUUUGAAUACAAGUGGUUGUUUAUAUGAAGAAAAAGAAUUUAGUAGAAGUUAGUAUCUUAUCUGGUUAUAGAAGUUAGUAGAAACUCAGAGAAUGGUGGUGAUGGUGAGAAAGAAUAUAGGGUUGGUAGUAAGAAGAAAAAGAGGACUAUGUUGAUAAGUAGAAUACUUGAUAGAACAAUGCCUUUGGUUGCUAAUACUAGUUUCUAGCUAGAGAUUUUCUAUUGCAUAUAUUUAUAUGUCAAGGUUUCUAAUUAAUACAGUUGAAUAUACAUGCAUGUAGUCAUUAAUUAGUUAUUAGGUUGGUGACAUGGAGGUCUAUAUGUAGUUAAAUGCCUGAAAAGGAAUGAAAAGCAGGUUGUGGCUUGUUUACUUUUCUAAUUCCUUCAGUUAUUGAUCUAUGGUUUCUCUGUAAUCUUGCCAUAAUUAUAGUAGUUGUCUUACCUUUUAAGUUUUGUUCAAGAAAAGCUAGCUAGUAGCUAUUAUUCAAUGCAUAAUCUUCGAUUCUACAUGCAUAUAAAAAAUGAUAUUGAUAAGGCACGUCGAGUCGUUUUCUAUCAUGUCCAUAUAUGUUUUACAAGUGAAUAUUUAUAUUAGUUAAUCAAAUAAGAGAAAUGGACUUAUAACAAUAUACUAAAACUUGAUAGAUGAUAAUGGGAUAGACAUGUAAUUUUUAUAAUAAUUUUUGCAUUUUGAUUAUUAAUUAGAGGAGGAAAAAUUGAUUUUCUAAACGUUCCAAAGAGGUGGUAAACUGGUAAUGCAUGAGUUGCGUCUAGUUUGAUUAGGAAUACCCAAGGUAGUAAACUGGCUUUGUGCUAUUUUUUUUUUUUUUUUUGAAAACAGUUCAAAAUUACCUUUCUCUACCGAUUUUCACCAUGGAUGUGGAAUACCCAUGUUUUGCUUAAUAAUGUGUAGGUUUAUGUUUUUGAGUUUUUGGUGCUUUUGCUUAGUGUAUUGAUUGUUCUUUUAUUACAUGUUCUUAACUAUUGGCAACUCUUUCUUGAGAAGUUUUGGCUGUGUUUUUCUUUAUUAUAGAUAUUAUUGUCGUUAUUAUUCUUAAAUAUGUUUUUAUUAAAUGAAUGAUGAGUUUGGAUUGGAGGCCUAGUAGUGGCCAUUUUGCCUUUGGAGAAUGUUGGUAUGUUAUAGAAGUGUUUAUUGAAGUGUCUUUGUAUUUGAGAUUUGAUUGUUUUGUGCGGAAAUGCUGCCGAAUUUUUUUCCUAUAAAUUCAAUAUGUAGAAUAGUACACUUACCUUUAUUAUAGUAGGUAGAAGAGGAAGCUGAUGAAGAGGAGGAGGAAGCAGAUGAUAUUGAAGACACUUAAUUCUUAGAGCAGUUUUACUAUUACAAAUUCAUAAAUGUAUAUCUAAUUAAUAUUAUUAAUGAAGAAUUUCAAUGGUAUUAACUUUCUUUACUCAUAUUUACCACAUGUUCCACAAUUCAUAUAAUUGUAUAAAUUCAUUUUAUCUAGGUUCUGAUAUCUGCAGUACAGAUGGCUAGAGGCAGACCGUUUGAUUCUGACGCGUCUGGCAGUGGUUCGUGUGGAGGUCAUGGCCCUGGACGCAGUGCCCGUGGAUGAGGAGGGUCGAUCCCUCGUCCUUCGUCAGGUACGUCUGGGGCUUCGUCAUCUGCUCAGCGACCAGUACUGCCGCCAUCACAU